ACCCGCACCCGCAGACGCAGCAAGCACUCCCCCCCUGUUAUCCAAGAAGUACACUGUUCCGGCGCCCCAAGGUCGACGGCCGCCUCCGUCCGCCCGCUCGCCGUCGCGACUCCUUCCUCCCCAUGCGGCGUCCUCGGGCGGUUCGAUGACCAUAGCAUGUGGUUUCUCUCGCUUCCUCAACACGCGCGUGCAUUCCUCCACAAAUCGCGUCCUCAGCCUCUGGUUCGCCUCCUGUCCCUGCUCCUCCGCCUCCGCCUCCGCCUUCGCCUCGGAGCCGCCGGAGAUAGCCGCGGGCCCGGAAACCGUCAGGGAAGGGCGGGCGGAGAUAUUCGCGGACAAGUCCAAUUCGGUCUUCUUCAACAAGGCUCAGGUUAACAACAGAGACCUUUCCAUUGCUGUUUUGAGAUGGUUUAUUUUGAAAAGACAGGAAGAGCAUGAUAUCCAAUUAAAAGGCAGGCGUGCUGAGAUACCACCGGAGCAGCAUGCCGAUGGAUUAGACCCUGCUACCACAGGUUCUGAAGACACUGCAUUGAGAAAGGAAUCGAGCCUUAAAGCACCUAAAGUUCUUGAGGCUUUGGCUGCAUCAGGAUUAAGAGCUAUCCGAUAUGCACUUGAGGUGGAUGGAAUUGGGGAAGUUAUAGCUCUUGACAAUAAUGAAGUUGCUAUAGAAUCCUGUAAGAGAAAUAUCUAUCACAAUGGCAUUCUUGCAUCUUCGAAGGUGGUGCCACAUCUUGCUGACGCUCGCAUUUACAUGCUCACUCACCCUAAAGAAUUUGAUGUGGUUGAUCUUGAUCCUUAUGGAUCACCAGCUGCAUUCCUUGAUUCAGCAGUUCAAUGUGUUGCAGAUGGUGGUAUCUUGAUGUGCUCGGCUACAGACAUGGCAGUCCUUGCUGGGGGCAAUGCAGAAGUUUGCUUUUCCAAAUAUGGUUCUUAUCCAGUAAGAGGCAAAUACCGCCAUGAGAUGGCCUUGAGGAUUCUUCUUGCCUGCAUCGAGUCACAUGCGAUCCGCCACAAGCGCUAUAUAGUUCCUGUCAUAUCAGUGCACAUGGAUUUCUACAUUAGGGUUUUUGUGCGAAUCUUCACGUCGGCUAGCACGGUGAAAAGCUCACCUCUCAAAUUUUCACAUGUAUAUCAAUGUGUUGGUUGCAAUUCAUUUCACUUACAAAAUGUUGGAAGAAUAAACUCAAAGGAUAAGAGGAAUAUUCCUCUACCAAAUUUUUGCCCUAUUGUGCCUCAAGAGUGUUCGGAGUGUGGCGGUAAAUUUGUUAUGGGGGGGCCUAUAUGGAGUGAUCCAAUACAUGACAGGGAUUGGGCUGCUUCCAUUUUAUCAAAUAUCCGAGCAACUAGUGGUUUAUAUCAAGCUUAUGCAAAAAUUUCAGCUAUACUAACGUCAGUAUCAGAGGAAGGUGUUAAACAUUCCCAGACCAAAAGGUAGCGACAAAUCUUUAUGUAAAUGGCCUGCUUGCAAUGCAUUCUGGAAACCCAUUGGAUGCCCUGUGUUGUGUGUAACAUCCCAGAUAUCUGCCCUACCUGGUGAAAGCUACCACACUAUCUGAUUACCACCGAGUCAUAUGGAUGUUAUCUGUUAUAAUUCUAAAUUGUCUGCCGUGGAUGUCCCUAUAAACACAGGAAGCUUUGCCAAAAUUUGAGUAUUUCCUAGAGUUGGUGGUAAUCAGAUAGUGUGUUAGCAUCGCCAGGUAGGGGAGACAUCUGGGAUGUUACACUGUGCUCAGAAUCUGCAACUUCUUCUCGGGAAUGUCAGAAUCUGCAACUUGCACCAGAACAAUGCCAUUCCUGACAACAAUCUGUCUACAUGAUAUGUAUCUGGUAGGAAAGAACAUCAACCUUCACUCUCAGCAGCUGGCAUCCUUCAUGGCACACUAACUUUAUUUAUGGCAAUUUGGAAUACCAUUUCCACCAAGCAGGAAUUGCCCAAUGCACCUUUAUUCGUCAGUCUUCACAGUAUAUGUGCAACAUUGAAGUGCACUAAUCCAACCAUGGUUAUGUUUCAUUCGGCUAUAAGAAAUGCUGGGUAUGAAAUAUCAGGUAGCCAUGCGGAUCCGCUAGCUCUGAAAA
This is an RNA transcript of Triticum aestivum (bread wheat), 2076 nucleotides long. It is a transcript of the gene named probable tRNA (guanine(26)-N(2))-dimethyltransferase 1, with no coding region annotated. NCBI's taxonomy places the organism in Eukaryota, Viridiplantae, Streptophyta, Magnoliopsida, Poales, Poaceae. The transcript has 12 exons. The record is from RefSeq and is a predicted model, not a curated record.